This 317-nucleotide long non-coding RNA is filed under the name Nicotiana benthamiana. RNAcentral describes it as "long non-coding RNA (NBEN_LNC016590)". The record is from RNAcentral. Lineage: Eukaryota; Viridiplantae; Streptophyta; Magnoliopsida; Solanales; Solanaceae.
CUCAUCUUCCACACCACCAGUUGAAACCCCAAAACCUAGAUUCCGGCGCUAGAAAAUGCUAGCAAGAAAAACUGUAGUUACUGGUUCUCUAAGGAAAGCUUUGAAUGAAAAACUUUAGUCCAGCCAAAAGAAUCCAGUUCCAGCAGCCGAGAGAACUCUAGCUCUGAAUAUGAUGUUACAUCUCUGCCAGUGAAGGAGAUGAACCUCGGUCUUCUGAAAAUGCCAGAACUCAAGAAACCCAAGGAGAGGUAAAAUCUUGCUUUGUUUUUUUCUGAUGUAGUUCAAAGUGAGGAAAAUCGAUUUGUUAUGAUAGAGGC